RNAcentral lists this ribosomal RNA (452 nucleotides) under uncultured bacterium. RNAcentral's name for it is "bacterial SSU rRNA". It matches the Rfam family "Bacterial small subunit ribosomal RNA", at positions 28 to 476 of the family's 1533-position model. The record is from RNAcentral.
GAUGAACGCUGGCGGCGUGCCUAACACAUGCAAGUCGAACGAAGCUUGAUGAAUGAUUUCUUCGGAAUGAAUUCUGAUAUGACUUAGUGGCGGACGGGUGAGUAACACGUGAGCAACCUGCCUUUCAGAGGGGGAUAACGGCUGGAAACGGUCGCUAAUACCGCAUGAUAUGUUUGGAUGGCAUCAUUUGAACAUCAAAGAUUUAUCGCUGAAAGAUGGGCUCGCGUCUGAUUAGAUAGUUGGUGAGGUAACGGCUCACCAAGUCGACGAUCAGUAGCCGGACUGAGAGGUUGAACGGCCACAUUGGGACUGAGAUACGGCCCAGACUCCUACGGGAGGCAGCAGUGGGGAAUAUUGCACAAUGGGGGAAACCCUGAUGCAGCAACGCCGCGUGAAGGAAGACGGUUUUCGGAUUGUAAACUUCUUUUCUUUGUGAAGAAACAAAUGACGGU